GGAUGUGAAGGUGAUCUGGCUGCAACAUCUGUCACCUCAUUGACAUCAUCGGCAGUGUUGAUUCGGCUGAUCUGGCUGGCUAGGCAGGUGUCCCCUUCCUCCCUCAUCGCUCCAUGUGCAUCCUUCCCCAAGCUGUGUGCUCUGUUGAAGAGGACUGCCUUCCCCAAAUAGAGAUGGACGGGUCUUCAGUGGAGGGUAUACAAGUAGCUGCGCUCCCCUGCUAGAACCUCCAAACAAGCUUUCAAAGUAUGCCACAAUCAUGAAAAUUAGUGAACUACAAAAAAACAAGAAAUUACAAAAAAAAAAAAACCUCAGAGAUGAUACUACAUAUUUAUCAAAAAUCAGAAUCUGAUUUUUUUAUCUUU
This is an unclassified non-coding RNA of Erinaceus europaeus (western European hedgehog), 365 nucleotides long. Its record names the gene 7SK. It matches the Rfam family "7SK RNA". Rfam says of the family: 7SK was discovered as an abundant small nuclear RNA in the mid-70s but a possible function has only recently been suggested. Two independent studies have found that 7SK RNA binds the CDK9/cyclin T complex (known as elongation factor P-TEFb). P-TEFb activates transcription by phosphorylating the C-terminal domain of RNA polymerase II. Lineage: Eukaryota; Metazoa; Chordata; Mammalia; Eulipotyphla; Erinaceidae. The record is from Ensembl.